Molecule: ribosomal RNA, 497 nt
Filed under: uncultured bacterium
Lineage: Bacteria
Description: partial 16S ribosomal RNA
Rfam family: Bacterial small subunit ribosomal RNA
Source: RNAcentral
GAUGAACGCUGGCGGCGUGCCUAAUACAUGCAAGUCGAGCGAACAGACGAUGAGCUUGCUCCUCGCACGUUAGCGGCUGAUGGGUGAGUAACACGUGGAUAACCUACCUUUAAGACUGGGAUAACUUCGGGAAACCGCAGCUAAUCCCGGAUAAUAUAUUGAACAUCAUGGUUCAAUAGUGAAAUACGGUUUUGCUUUUACUUAUAGAUGGAUCCUCAGCGCAUUAGCUAGUUGGUAAGGUAACGGCUUACCAAGGCAACGAUGCGUAGCCGACCUGAGAGGGUGACCGGCCACACUGGAACUGAGACACGGUCCAGACUCCUACGGGAGGCAGCAGUGGGGAAUCUUCCGCAAUGGGCGAAAGCCUGACGGAGCAACGCCGCGUGAGUGAUGAAGGUCUUCGGAUCGUAAAACUCUGUUAUCAGGGAAGAACAAAUGUGUAAGUAACUAUGCACGUCUUGACGGUACCUAAUCAGAAAGCAACGGCUAACUACGUG